CCGCAGGACGCGGAAAAGACCCGUUGGAAUCUACCAAAGGCAUUAAAAGCGGAAGUCAUGUAAAUCAGUUCGAAUGCAUAAACAAAUAAAGGACUUUCUCAUCAAUUAUACUCGGCCCCCAUUUUUUCCUCAUCUCACUUAUUCAGCACUGGCUCAUAACAAGGAUGUGUGCUAAGUUCAUUGCUGUUUGCCCAUUGUACCCAUGACUGCAGUCCAGCCCACCGUAAGAACAUCAUCAUCAAUAUGGCUGAUGACACUAUAAUGAUUGGACUCAUCUCGGAGGGGAAUGAAUCUUCUUAUAGAGUGGAGAUCCUGAAAAUGUCAGCUUGGAGCUCAACAAAUAACCUGGCACUGAACACCAUGAAAGCAAAGGAAAUCAUCUUUGA
Molecule: long non-coding RNA, 386 nt
Organism: Polypterus senegalus (gray bichir)
Lineage: Eukaryota; Metazoa; Chordata; Cladistia; Polypteriformes; Polypteridae
Exons: 2
Source: RefSeq, a predicted model, not a curated record